ACGGGGUGCAGCAGGCGCGAAACCUUUGCAAUGUGCGCAAGCACGACAAGGUUAAUCCGAGUGUUUCCUGCUAAAGGAAUCUUUUGUUAGUCGUAAAACCACUGAUGAAUAAGGGGUGGGCAAGUUCUGGUGUCAGCCGCCGCGGUAAAACCAGCACCUCAAGUGGUCAGGAGGAUUAUCGGGCCUAAAGCAUCCGUAGCCGGCUCUGCAAGUUUUCGGUUAAAUCCAUUUGCUUAACAAAUGGGCUGCCGAAAAUACUACAUAGCUAGGGAGUGGGAGAGGUAGACGGUAUUCGGUAGGAAGGGGUAAAAUCCUUUGAUAUAUUGAGGACCACCUAUGGCGAAGGCAGUCUACCAGAACACGUUCGACGGUGAGGGAUGAAAGCUGGGGGAGCAAACCGGAUUAGAUACCCGGGUAGUCCCAGCUGUAAACGAUGCAGACUCGGUGAUGCACUGGCUUGUGGCCAGUGCAGUGCCGCAGGGAAGCCGUUAAGUUUGCCGCCUGGGAAGUACGUACGCAAGUAUGAAACUUAAAGGAAUUGGCGGGGGAGCAC
This 553-nucleotide ribosomal RNA is filed under the name uncultured Nitrososphaerota archaeon. RNAcentral's name for it is "bacterial SSU rRNA". It matches the Rfam family "Archaeal small subunit ribosomal RNA", at positions 325 to 879 of the family's 1478-position model. The record is from RNAcentral. Lineage: Archaea; Thermoproteati; Nitrososphaerota.